Molecule: ribosomal RNA, 766 nt
Filed under: Stolephorus waitei (spotty-faced anchovy)
Lineage: Eukaryota; Metazoa; Chordata; Actinopteri; Clupeiformes; Engraulidae
Description: partial 16S ribosomal RNA
Rfam family: Bacterial large subunit ribosomal RNA
Source: RNAcentral
GCAGAGACCAACCCUCGUACCUUUUGCAUCAUGAUUCUGCCAGUAAACGCAAGCAAAGAGCCCUCUAGUUUGCACCCCCGAAACUUGACGAGCUACUCCGAGACAGUCAACAAUGGACUAACCCGUCUCUGUGGCAAAAGAGUGGGAAGAUCUCCGAGUAGAGGCAAAACCCCUACCGAGCCAAGUUAUAGCUGGUUGCCCAAUAAAUGAAUAAAAGUUCAGCCCCGCCAAGCCCCCCUCAAAAUAGUUUUACUAGAAAAGACAAAGAGCUCUUUGCGGGAGUUAAUCAGAGGAGGUACAGCUCCCCUGAUAAAGGACACAACCUUUAUAGGAGAUUUAAGAACAUUUUUAAUUAAGGCCCCAGGUCCUGGUGGGCCUGAAAGCAGCCAUCCAAACAGAAAGCGUUAAAGCUCAGACCUCAAAAAAGCCUUUUAUACCAUUCUUUAUUCUUAUAUCCCUACAACCCAUUGGGCCCCCCUAUGCCCCCAUAGAGGGGAUUAUGCUGAAACUAGUAACAAGAAGCAAGAACUUCUCCCUGCACAAGUGUAAGUCGAAUUGGACAAACCAUCGACAAUUAACGAACCCAACAAAAGAGGGCCCUAUAUCCCCGCCCAUUUUAGCCAAGAAAAACAUGUACCUUUGUAUCGUUACCCCCACACAGGAGUGCUAUUUUGAGGAAAGACUAAAAGAAGGAAAAGGAACUCGGCAAACUAAAACCCCGCCUGUUUACCAAAAACAUCGCCUCUUGCAUAAAAAGUAUAAGAGG